This 1211-nucleotide ribosomal RNA is filed under the name Lacticaseibacillus casei. Its description in RNAcentral is "bacterial SSU rRNA". It matches the Rfam family "Bacterial small subunit ribosomal RNA", at positions 149 to 1346 of the family's 1533-position model. Lineage: Bacteria; Bacillati; Bacillota; Bacilli; Lactobacillales; Lactobacillaceae. The record is from RNAcentral.
UUUGGAAACAGAUGCUAAUACCGCAUAAAUCCAAGAACCGCAUGGUUCUUGGCUGAAAGAUGGCGUCAAGCUAUCGCUUUUGGAUGGACCCGCGGCGUAUUAGCUAGUUGGUGAGGUAACGGCUCACCAAGGCGAUGAUACGUAGCCGAACUGAGAGGUUGAUCGGCCACAUUGGGACUGAGACACGGCCCAAACUCCUACGGGAGGCAGCAGUAGGGAAUCUUCCACAAUGGACGCAAGUCUGAUGGAGCAACGCCGCGUGAGUGAAGAAGGCUUUCGGGUCGUAAAACUCUGUUGUUGGAGAAGAAUGGUCGGCAGAGUAACUGUUGUCGGCGUGACGGUAUCCAACCAGAAAGCCACGGCUAACUACGUGCCAGCAGCCGCGGUAAUACGUAGGUGGCAAGCGUUAUCCGGAUUUAUUGGGCGUAAAGCGAGCGCAGGCGGUUUUUUAAGUCUGAUGUGAAAGCCCUCGGCUUAACCGAGGAAGCGCAUCGGAAACUGGGAAACUUGAGUGCAGAAGAGGACAGUGGAACUCCAUGUGUAGCGGUGAAAUGCGUAGAUAUAUGGAAGAACACCAGUGGCGAAGGCGGCUGUCUGGUCUGUAACUGACGCUGAGGCUCGAAAGCAUGGGUAGCGAACAGGAUUAGAUACCCUGGUAGUCCAUGCCGUAAACGAUGAAUGCUAGGUGUUGGAGGGUUUCCGCCCUUCAGUGCCGCAGCUAACGCAUUAAGCAUUCCGCCUGGGGAGUACGACCGCAAGGUUGAAACUCAAAGGAAUUGACGGGGGCCCGCACAAGCGGUGGAGCAUGUGGUUUAAUUCGAAGCAACGCGAAGAACCUUACCAGGUCUUGACAUCUUUUGAUCACCUGAGAGAUCAGGUUUCCCCUUCGGGGGCAAAAUGACAGGUGGUGCAUGGUUGUCGUCAGCUCGUGUCGUGAGAUGUUGGGUUAAGUCCCGCAACGAGCGCAACCCUUAUGACUAGUUGCCAGCAUUGAGUUGGGCACUCUAGUAAGACUGCCGGUGACAAACCGGAGGAAGGUGGGGAUGACGUCAAAUCAUCAUGCCCCUUAUGACCUGGGCUACACACGUGCUACAAUGGAUGGUACAACGAGUUGCGAGACCGCGAGGUCAAGCUAAUCUCUUAAAGCCAUUCUCAGUUCGGACUGUAGGCUGCAACUCGCCUACACGAAGUCGGAAUCGCUAGUAAUCGCG